This is a long non-coding RNA of Ctenopharyngodon idella (grass carp), 954 nucleotides long. RefSeq lists it as uncharacterized. NCBI's taxonomy places the organism in Eukaryota, Metazoa, Chordata, Actinopteri, Cypriniformes, Xenocyprididae. The record is from RefSeq and is a predicted model, not a curated record. The transcript is spliced from 3 exons.
UUCCUUGUGUUCUUCUAAUGAUUUCCUGCGUUCAUCAUUAAAGCUGACUGUUUAAAAUAUUCCUAGUUUGUGCGCCUUGCUUACGACAUGUUAUACACUUAGCUUCAAAAGAUGGAGAAAGGUGAUUUGCGAUUGUUUAUGUAAUCCUUUUUAAUAUUCAAUGCAUUGUUUCAUUUAUACUUGAAGAUUGUAGCUUGGCAACUCAAAAAACCACCAUAGCUUGCAUGUAAAUGUACUUAUUGAGAAGUUUAACCAAUUCUGGCAAAGGGUGGUUGGAGAGAAUGAUGGAGUUGCAAGGGAAUGGCACUUUUCUGCCAAAAACAGGACCGGGAAUGAGUUAAUUGACCAAUUCUGUGAUGUUGUUUUUUUCCCCCCAGAUACCCCAGGGAAGGACAAUGUGCUCCAAACACCACAACUGCUCUCCUCCCAGAGUCACCAUCAGGCAGUGCUUAUACCAAGAGCUGCUAGCUUGAGGGAGAUGAUUAUUCAUGAGAGUCAUCAAGAAGCUACAAGCCUUGUGAUUUAUAUUGUCAUGCUACCAAAACCUGAUGACACAUCCUGUUUUUUAAUGAGGUGUGGCGGAUUGAGACAGACACGACAGGUGUGGCAUCAGGCCUGUAUCACAAGAGCUCACUGGUAACACAUCUUUCCAGUGGAUGGCGAAGGGAAGAAUAAAGAUGCAGUACAAAGCGCUGGAGCUGAUGACACCCAUUACGCACUUCUAGAGCUUUUGACUCUGACUCACUCUGCUGUAAUAUCCUCUCAAACAGUAACAGAUGGUACCGACUAUUUCACUGCCUUCAGACAUGUUUGUAGAUUGUAUCCAUCCUUUCACAGAGCCACACGUUCCUGUGGAAAACAUGCCGUAUCUGUCACUACAGCUUCCUGUGUUAACGAAUUACACCCAGAAACGGAUGGGUCACAACAGACCCUUCUCUCUCAAUCUUCCUGCCC